AUUGAACGCUGGCGGCAGGCCUAACACAUGCAAGUCGAACGAGUGGCGGACGGGUGAGUAAUGUCUGGGAAACUGCCUGAUGGAGGGGGAUAACUACUGGAAACGGUAGCUACUACCGCAUACCAUCAGAUGUGCCCAGAUGGGAUUAGCUUGUGGGGGGGGUAACGGGUCACCACGGCGACGAUCCCUAGCUGGUCUGAGAGGAUGACCGGCCACCCUGGAACUGGGACACGGUCCAGACUCCUACGGGAGGCAGCAGUGGGGAAUAUUGCACAAUGGGCGAAAGCCUGAUGCGGCCAUGCCGCGUGUGUGAAGAAGGCCUUCGGGUUGUAAAGUACUUUCAGCGGGGAGGCGUUACCCGCAGAGGAAGCACCGGCUAACUCCGUGCCAGCAGCCGCGGUAAUUC
RNAcentral lists this ribosomal RNA (406 nucleotides) under uncultured bacterium. Its description in RNAcentral is "partial 16S ribosomal RNA". It matches the Rfam family "Bacterial small subunit ribosomal RNA", at positions 30 to 526 of the family's 1533-position model. The record is from RNAcentral.